CUGGUUUAUUUUAUUUUAUUUUAUUAUUUUAUUAUUUUUUUUGUCUUUUGUCUUUUUAGGGCUGUACCCGUGGCAUAUGGAGAUUCCCAAGCUUGGCAUCUAAUCAAAGCUGCAGCUGCCAGCCUAUGCCACAACCACAGCAACGCCACAUCUAAGCCCCAUGUACAACCCACAACACAGAUGGUGGCACUGCCAGAUCCUUAACCCACUGAGCGAGGCCAGGGAUCAAACCCACAACCUCAUUGGGGCUGGUUUAUUUUACAUCCUCCACCCCUCCCCCCCACCCCAGUCCCUCAGUGGGCCUGUACUGGGUGAAGAGAGGCAAACAGGAGAGGGACAGCCACUGCCAUGGCUGGUCACAUGAUUUUAUGAGGCUUGUGAUCCCCUGGAAUAGACUCUAUGUACUGUUCUUAGCUCUGAUUCCUUUCACUUCCUUCCCUUGUUUUUUAUCUCUGCCUCAACUUUCUCAACUAUGUUUUUCCUCUUCCUGUUGAAGUUGAUAUAUCUCUGUGAGCUACCACAAAUCCCUCUUUUUUUGGAAUAAUGCACGGGAUAAAUAAAUAAUCUUUUAAAAAAAUAACACAAUCUCAUUUGAUGCUCAAAACAGUCCUUGAUGUUCUUUGGAGAACAUGUGGUUCGGGCAAAAUCAAAGAGCUUCUAAGUAUCUUCCAACUCCAAGUCCAAUGCACUUUCCACCAGGGAUGACUUGGUGAGCCCUUCCUGUGUGUUGGUGACACUAGGCGAGGCACUGGGGACAGAGGGUUGACUUAGUGCCGAGCACAUUUUCUCAGUCCUGUGAGGAAGGUGUUGCACCAGUGCUCAUCCAAAGGUGAGGAAUGCGAGGUUCAUGAAGCCUCCUGACUUGAGGAGGUCAUGCAACAGAGCAAGUAGCAGAAUCCCUGGGGGCUCGUUUGAUUGCCACUUAACAAAGAAGGGACCUCACUGGAUCCAUGAGGCUGCAGGUUGGAUCCCUGGCCUCGCUCUGUGGGUUAAGGAUCUGGCGUUGUUGUGAGCUGUGGUGUAGGUCGAAGAUGCGGCUAGGAUCUGGUGAGAUGCGGCUAGGAUCUGGUGUGGCUGUGGCUGUGGCUGUGGUGUAAGCCGGCUCUGAUUUGACCCCUAGCCUGGGAACUUCUAUUAGCCACAGGUGCAGUCCUAAAAAAAUAAAGGGGAGAAGACAUGAAAUACUGGAAGAGUGUUGAGUUUUUAGGUGGGUGUAGAGAGAAGGCCUCGUUAAUGAUGUGGUAUAUUUGAAUAAGGGAAGUGAAGGAGACGAGGAAAGAGAGGGAAGCUUCUAAAACAUCUCCAAAUCAGUGGGUCCAAAACCCAACCUGUGAUUUCCUCCUGAAAACAUAAUCCUUUUCCAGUAAUCUCAGUCUCAAGAAAUGACCCCUUCAUGUAUUGAGUUAGUCGCACCCUUGUCACCACGUCAGAUCUGUCACCAAGUUCUUUUGCUUCUGUCUCCUAAAUGCUUCUCCUGCGGCAAUGUGCAGUUCCACCAUCUCGGUGACUGCCACUGUGGUCCACGCCCCAUCGUCUUUUCACCUGGACUGAGGCCAUGGCCUUCUAACUGGUCUCCCUGCUUCCACUCUGGCCCCCAUCUAAUUUGUCCUCCCCAUAGUACCCAGAGCUACCUUUUCUGAACUCAAGUGUGAUAAUGUCAUCACUUGGCUUAAAGCUUACCAUGGCAUCACAUAGCGCUUAAGCUCUUACUGGUAGGAUAGAGGCCAAAUUCAUGACCUGUGUGGUCUGACACCAACCUCCUUCUCUUAGCUUUUUUUCGUACCAGUAUUGCCCCCGCUACCUGCCACCCCCCCAACACCACAGAAAAACACAAACAUCAGCCAUUCUAGCUUUAUUUCAGAAUCUUAAGCAAGUCAUGUUCUUGCCAUGAUAAGACCUUUUUACACACUGUUCCCCUUUCCUAGAAUGUCCUUCUUUACCCGUUCAAGCCAAUCUCUCUCAUUUAGUUGCCACCUCCUUCAGAGCCCAGCCUUCUCUGAUCUUCUUGAUCAGGUCACAUUCUCCUGUGACAGGCUGUCAUGACAUCACAGAUUUCCCCUUUUCAGCACUUUCACACGUGUAAUCUUAAACUGAUUUGUCUGCCUGUUUGAUUGCUGUCUACCUAUCCCACUGAAUUGUAACUCCAUGAGGACCGAGAUUCAUUUGCUCAUCAUUGGCUCCACAGUGCCUAUUGCAGUGCUUGACACUUAAGCAGGUGCUCAACAAAUGUUUGUUGUGAAUGAAAGAAUAAAUGAAUGAGAGUUCCUGUUGUGGCUCAGCGGGUUACAAACCCAACUAGUAUCCAUGAGGAUGUAGAUUCGAUCCCUGGCCUUGCUCAGUGGGCUAAGGAUCCAGCAUUGCCGUGAGCUUUGGUAUAAGUUGCAGAUGUGGCUUGGAUCCCACAUUGCUGUGGCUGUAACGUAGACCAGCAGCUUGAGCUCUAAUUCACCCUGUAGCCUGGGAACUUCUGUAUGCUGCAGCUGUGGCCCUAAAAAAAAAAAAAAAUUUCAAACCGUAAAGAUCUUUAUACAGUAAAAAGUAUAAUUCCCCUGGCCUUGGCCCUCCUGAGAAGUAUCACUGUUAACAUUUUGGUAUCUAUAUUUCCAAGCCUCAUUCUCUGCUUGUACUAUAUCCAUAUCGAAUAUCUGUGUGUCUGUGUUAUACACACAGACACACGGAUAAACAUAGUUUCAUUGGGCUUUGUUUUUUACAUUGAUGGCUCAUACUAGGCGCAUCCUUCUGAGAUUUGUUUUAUUAACUUAGCAUUUUGCUGUAUAGAUCUUUCCAUGUCAGUACAUCAGCCUGGCACACUCCUUUGCAUACAUGAAGAGAUGGUAAUAUGCUAAAUAAGUGAUGCAUAAAAUGCACAAGUGCCAUUAAGUAAUUACUGUGUUAUCAAAAGAGAGUCAGGAUGGAGUUGCCAUUGUGGCUCAGCAGGUUAAGAAUCUGACUAGUAUCCAUGAGGAUGUGGGUUUGAUCCCUGACCUCACUCAGUGGGUUAAGGAUCCAGCGGUUACCAUGAGCUGCAGUAUAGGCCAGCAGCUACAGCUCCAAUUUGACCCCUAGCCUGUGGGUGCGGCCCUAAU
Molecule: long non-coding RNA, 3086 nt
Filed under: Sus scrofa (pig)
Lineage: Eukaryota; Metazoa; Chordata; Mammalia; Artiodactyla; Suidae
Description: lncRNA (ENSSSCG00055001094.1)
Source: RNAcentral